GACGAACGCUGGCGGCGUGCUUAACACAUGCAAGUCGAACGAAGAGCGAUGGAAGCUUGCUUCUAUCAAUCUUAGUGGCGAACGGGUGAGUAACGUGUAAUCAACCUGCCCUUCAGAGGGGGACAACAGUUGGAAACGACUGCUAAUACCGCAUACGAUCUAAUCUCGGCAUCGAGGAUAGAUGAAAGGUGGCCUCUACAUGUAAGCUAUCACUGAAGGAGGGGAUUGCGUCUGAUUAGCUAGUUGGAGGGGUAACGGCCCACCAAGGCGAUGAUCAGUAGCCGGUCUGAGAGGAUGAACGGCCACAUUGGGACUGAGACACGGCCCAGACUCCUACGGGAGGCAGCAGUGGGGAAUCUUCCGCAAUGGACGAAAGUCUGACGGAGCAACGCCGCGUGAGUGAUGACGGCCUUCGGGUUGUAAAGCUCUGUUAAUCGGGACGAAAGGCCUUCUUGCGAAUAGUGAGAAGGAUUGACGGUACCGGAAUAGAAAGCCACGGCUAACUACGUG
Molecule: ribosomal RNA, 510 nt
Filed under: uncultured bacterium
Lineage: Bacteria
Description: partial 16S ribosomal RNA
Rfam family: Bacterial small subunit ribosomal RNA
Source: RNAcentral